GACGCGGUGGCCAAAUAGUUGCGGCGUUGGACUCUGGAUCAAGCGAUCCGGGUUCGAGCCCUGGCCGGGGUCA
This is a non-coding RNA of Desmophyllum pertusum, 73 nucleotides long. The record is from the annotation of a GenBank genome assembly. NCBI's taxonomy places the organism in Eukaryota, Metazoa, Cnidaria, Anthozoa, Scleractinia, Caryophylliidae.